Molecule: ribosomal RNA, 442 nt
Filed under: uncultured Rhodospirillaceae bacterium
Lineage: Bacteria; Pseudomonadati; Pseudomonadota; Alphaproteobacteria; Rhodospirillales; Rhodospirillaceae
Description: bacterial SSU rRNA
Rfam family: Bacterial small subunit ribosomal RNA
Source: RNAcentral
UCCUACGGGAGGCUGCAGUGGGGAGUAUUGGACAAUGGGGGCAACCCUGAUCCAGCAAUGCCGCGUGGGUGAUGAAGGCCUUCGGGUUGUAAAGCCCUUUCGGCGGGGACGAUGAUGACGGUACCCGCAGAAGAAGCCCCGGCUAACUUCGUGCCAGCAGCCGCGGUAAUACGAAGGGGGCUAGCGUUGUUCGGAAUGACUGGGCGUAAAGGGCGCGUAGGCGGCUCUUUUAGUCAGGCGUGAAAGCCCUGGGCUCAACCUGGGAAUUGCGCUUGAUACUGGAGGGCUUGAGUGCGGGAGAGGAUGGUGGAAUUCCCAGUGUAGAGGUGAAAUUCGUAGAUAUUGGGAAGAACACCGGUGGCGAAGGCGGCCAUCUGGACCGUUACUGACGCUGAGGCGCGAAAGCGUGGGGAGCAAACAGGAUUAGAUACCCUAGUAGUCU